CCUACGGGGUGCAGCAGUGAGGAAUAUUGGUCAAUGGACGAGAGUCUGAACCAGCCAAGUAGCGUGAAGGAUGACUGCCCUAUGGGUUGUAAACUUCUUUUAUAAAGGAAUAAAAUGAGUCACGUGUGCCUUUUUGCAUGUACUUUAUGAAUAAGGAUCGGCUAAUUCCGUGCCAGCAGCCGCGGUAAUACGGAGGAUCCGAGCGUUAUCCGGAUUUAUUGGGUUUAAAGGGAGCGUAGAUGGGUUGUUAAGUCAGUUGUGAAAGUUUGCGGCUCAACCGUAAAAUUGCGAUUGAUACUGGCAGUCUUGAGUACAGUUGAGGUAGGCGGAAUUCGUGGUGUAGCGGUGAAAUGCUUAGAUAUCACGAAGAACUCCGAUUGCGAAGGCAACUUACUAAACUGCCACUGACAUUGAUGCUCGAAAGUGUGGGUAUCGAACAGGAUUAGAUACCCCAGUAGUC
Molecule: ribosomal RNA, 460 nt
Filed under: uncultured bacterium
Lineage: Bacteria
Description: partial 16S ribosomal RNA
Rfam family: Bacterial small subunit ribosomal RNA
Source: RNAcentral